UGCUAUUGAAAAUUUGACCCAUUUAGUCUAUAUGCUAAAAUAUGACUAGGACAUGCAAAUGAUAGUCCAUUUAGGCUAAAGGAUGGUAUACUUGGCCCAAACUAAUAAAAUUGGGCUAUAACUAGUUAGCUAAUUGCAUGAAAAGUAAAUUGUCCAUUUAGGCUAAAGAUGGUAAGGUUGGGCUAGAUUAAAUAAAACUAGGCUAGAACCAGGUGGAUCUUUGCCACGUUAUAUUGUUUGUGUGUAGUAUAUUAUGCCAUGCUGUAUUUAUAAGGAAUAAAUUA
RNAcentral lists this long non-coding RNA (284 nucleotides) under Ricinus communis (castor bean). RNAcentral describes it as "long non-coding RNA (RCOM_LNC000327)". The record is from RNAcentral. Lineage: Eukaryota; Viridiplantae; Streptophyta; Magnoliopsida; Malpighiales; Euphorbiaceae.